This is a non-coding RNA of Ictidomys tridecemlineatus (thirteen-lined ground squirrel), 331 nucleotides long. NCBI's taxonomy places the organism in Eukaryota, Metazoa, Chordata, Mammalia, Rodentia, Sciuridae. The record is from RefSeq and is a predicted model, not a curated record.
GCCACAUCCUUGCUUUGCCUCUUGCCUUUACUUGUUUUUUCCCCCUCAGUCCCUUAAAGGUUCACCUGAGAGUCCUACUUCAAUACAUCAUAUGAACCUAAAUCCCUGCUUCAAGAUCUACUUCCAGGGCAUUGGCUCACUUUCCAUCACAGAUGAGAAACCUAUAGGAGGACAACCCCCAUGGUGAAGACAUUCAAGCAAGUCUCUGGAGAGGCCUAUGAAGAAGGAAAUAAGGUUUCUCACCAAGAGCAGUAAUGUAGAAGAUGAUUCUCCACCUCCAUGUAAGGCCAAGCCUGCUCAAAAAAAAAUAAAGUAAAAUGACCACAAGGCA